AGCGAACGCUGGCGGCAGGCCUAACACAUGCAAGUCGAACGAACCUUUCGGGGUUAGUGGCGGACGGGUGAGUAACACGUGGGAACGUGCCUUUAGGUUCGGAAUAACUCAGGGAAACUUGUGCUAAUACCGAAUGUGCCCUUCGGGGGAAAGAUUUAUCGCCUUUAGAGCGGCCCGCGUCUGAUUAGCUAGUUGGUUGAGGUAAUGGCUCACCAAGGCGACGAUCAGUAGCUGGUCUGAGAGGAUGAUCAGCCACAUUGGGACUGAGACACGGCCCAAACUCCUACGGGAGGCAGCAGUGGGGAAUCUUGCGCAAUGGGCGAAAGCCUGACGCAGCCAUGCCGCGGGAAUGAUGAAGGUCUUAGGAUGGUAAAAUUCUUUCACCGGGGACGAUAAUGACGGUACCCGGAGAAGAAGCCCCGGCUAACUUCGU
RNAcentral lists this ribosomal RNA (433 nucleotides) under uncultured bacterium. RNAcentral describes it as "partial 16S ribosomal RNA". It matches the Rfam family "Bacterial small subunit ribosomal RNA", at positions 29 to 506 of the family's 1533-position model. The record is from RNAcentral.